Molecule: ribosomal RNA, 546 nt
Filed under: uncultured bacterium
Lineage: Bacteria
Description: bacterial SSU rRNA
Rfam family: Bacterial small subunit ribosomal RNA
Source: RNAcentral
GGGGAAUAUUGCGCAAUGGGGGCAACCCUGACGCAGCCAUGCCGCGUGAAUGAAGAAGGCCUUCGGGUUGUAAAGUUCUUUCGGUAUUGAGGAAGGUUGUUGUGUUAAUAGCACGACAAAUUGACGUUAAAUACAGAAGAAGCACCGGCUAACUCCGUGCCAGCAGCCGCGGUAAUACGGAGGGUGCGAGCGUUAAUCGGAAUAACUGGGCGUAAAGGGCACGCAGGCAGACUUUUAAGUGAGGUGUGAAAUCCCCGGGCUUAACCUGGGAAUUGCAUUUCAGACUGGGAGUCUAGAGUACUUUAGGGAGGGGUAGAAUUCCACGUGUAGCGGUGAAAUGCGUAGAGAUGUGGAGGAAUACCGAAGGCGAAGGCAGCCCCUUGGGAAUGUACUGACGCUCAUGUGCGAAAGCGUGGGGAGCAAACAGGAUUAGAUACCCUGGUAGUCCACGCUGUAAACGCUGUCGAUUUGGGGAUUGGGCCUUGAGCUUGGUGCCCGAAGCUAACGUGAUAAAUCGACCGCCUGGGGAGUACGGCCGCAAGGUUA